AUUGAACGCUGGCGGCAGGCCUAACACAUGCAAGUCGAGCGGUUGAAGGGAGCUUGCUCCCUGAUUCAGCGGCGGACGGGUGAGUAAUGCCUAGGAAUCUGCCUAUUAGUGGGGGACAACGUUUCGAAAGGAACGCUAAUACCGCAUACGUCCUACGGGAGAAAGCAGGGGACCUUCGGGCCUUGCGCUAAUAGAUGAGCCUAGGUCGGAUUAGCUUGUUGGUGAGGUAAUGGCUCACCAAGGCGACGAUACGUAACUGGUCUGAGAGGAUGAUCAGUCACACUGGAACUGAGACACGGUCCAGACUCCUACGGGAGGCAGCAGUGGGGAAUAUUGGACAAUGGGCGAAAGCCUGAUCCAGCCAAGCCGCGUGUGUGAAGAAGGUCUUCGGAUUGUAAAGCACUUUAAGUUGGGAGGAAGGGUUGUAGAUUAAUACUCUGCAAUUUUGACGUUACCGACAGAAUAAGCACCGGCUAACUCUGUGCCAGCCGCCGCAGUAA
RNAcentral lists this ribosomal RNA (500 nucleotides) under uncultured bacterium. RNAcentral's name for it is "partial 16S ribosomal RNA". It matches the Rfam family "Bacterial small subunit ribosomal RNA", at positions 30 to 523 of the family's 1533-position model. The record is from RNAcentral.